AGGGCCCACCAAGGCGACGAUCAGUAGCCGGCCUGAGAGGGUGGACGGCCACAUUGGGACUGAGACACGGCCCAAACUCCUACGGGAGGCAGCAG
Molecule: ribosomal RNA, 95 nt
Filed under: uncultured bacterium
Lineage: Bacteria
Description: partial 16S ribosomal RNA
Rfam family: Bacterial small subunit ribosomal RNA
Source: RNAcentral